AACGAGAUUGUCCAGCUUGCUGGACAUGUCCGUGGCGCACGGGUGCGUAACGCGUAUGCAACCUACCUUUAUCUGGGGGAUAGCCCGGAGAAAUCCGGAUUAAUACCGCAUAAAAUCACAGGAUGGCAUUAUCCAAUGAUCAAACAUUUAUGGGAUGAAGAUGGGCAUGCGUGUCAUUAGCUAGUUGGCGGGGUAACGGCCCACCAAGGCGACGAUGACUAGGGGAUCUGAGAGGAUGGCCCCCCACACUGGUACUGAGACACGGACCAGACUCCUACGGGAGGCAGCAGUAAGGAAUAUUGGUCAAUGGAGGCAACUCUGAACCAGCCAUGCCGCGUGCAGGAAGACUGCCCUAUGGGUUGUAAACUGCUUUUAUCCGGGAAUAAACCACAUUACGUGUAAUGUGCUGAAUGUACCGGAAGAAUAAGGAUCGGCUAACUCCGUGCCAGCAGCCGCGGUAAUACGGAGGAUCCAAGCGUUAUCCGGAUUUAUUGGGUUUAAAGGGUGCGUAGGCGGCCUGUUAAGUCAGGGGUGAAAGACGGUAGCUCAACUAUCGCAGUGUCCUUGAUACUGAUGGGCUUGAAUGGACUAGAGGUAGGCGGGAAUGAGACAAGUAGCGGUGAAAAUGCAUAGAUAUGUCUCAGAACACCGAUUGCGAAGGCAGCUUACUAUGGUCUUAUUGACGCUGAAGCACGAAAGCGUGGGGGAUCAAACAGGA
RNAcentral lists this ribosomal RNA (718 nucleotides) under Pedobacter terrae. Its description in RNAcentral is "bacterial SSU rRNA". It matches the Rfam family "Bacterial small subunit ribosomal RNA", at positions 65 to 777 of the family's 1533-position model. Lineage: Bacteria; Pseudomonadati; Bacteroidota; Sphingobacteriia; Sphingobacteriales; Sphingobacteriaceae. The record is from RNAcentral.